This 253-nucleotide ribosomal RNA is filed under the name uncultured bacterium. RNAcentral describes it as "partial 16S ribosomal RNA". It matches the Rfam family "Bacterial small subunit ribosomal RNA", at positions 524 to 776 of the family's 1533-position model. The record is from RNAcentral.
UACAGGGGGUGCAAACGUUGCUCGGAAUCAUUGGGCGUAAAGCGCACGUAGGCGGUUCGUUAUGUCGGAUGUGAAAGCCCUGGGCUCAACCUGGGAAUUGCGAUGGAUACUGGCGAGCUAGAGUACGGUAGAGGAUGGUGGAAUUCCCGGUGUAGCGGUGAAAUGCGUAGAGAUCGGGAGGAACACCCGUGGCGAAGGCGGCCAUCUGGACCAGUACUGACGCUGAGGCACGAAAGCGUGGGGAGCAAACAGG